AUUGAACGCUGGCGGCAGGCCUAACACAUGCAAGUCGAGCGAGCGGCGGACGGGGGAGUAAUGUAUGGGGACUGCCCGAUAGAGGGGGAUAACUACUGGAAACGGUAGCUAAUAUCGCACACUAUCGGAUAACCCAUAUGGGAUUAGCUAGUAGGUGAGGGAAUGGCUCACCUAGGCGACGAUCCCUAGCUGGUUUGAGAGGAUGAGCAGCCACACGGGGACUGAGACACGGCCCAGACUCCUACGGAGGCAGCAGUGGGGAAUAUUGCACAAUGGGCGCAAGCCUGAUGCAGCCAUGCCGCGUGUAUGAAGAAGGCCCUAGGGUUGUAAAGUACUUUCAGUCGGGAGGCGUUACCGACAGAAGAAGCACCGGCUAACUCCGUGCCAGCAGCCGCGGUAAUUC
This 403-nucleotide ribosomal RNA is filed under the name uncultured bacterium. Its description in RNAcentral is "partial 16S ribosomal RNA". It matches the Rfam family "Bacterial small subunit ribosomal RNA", at positions 30 to 526 of the family's 1533-position model. The record is from RNAcentral.